UGCAAAGGAUGCUUUCCUUCCUUCCCUCCCUGAUGAGCGAUACUUCGAUAUCGCCAGGAGAUAAUAAAUAAACACAUAAGUACAGUAUUAGUAUUACUCCGUACUUACGCGUGAAGAUGGAUAGCGAUGAUGCGUUGGCUCGUGUGUCAAUUAGGCUCGAUCGAGUUUGAUCGUUAACUUUGUUUUGGCGUGCGAAAAAUGGAGAUAUACUGUGGAAUUAGCUGCCAGGCCGGAGGGGAGAAAUCAUCGUGAUGAAGUACUUAUAUAUUUUUCACCUGGAGGUAUGUUUUAUUUGCUCUUUGUCAGGAAAUCUAAAUUACUUGUCGUUUACGCCGGUGUGAAGGGUUCUGAGAUUUGAAUGUUUGUCAAGUAGUAUAAUUUAUGCCGCUAUCAUGCAUGGAAGGUUCUGGUGAUUUUUACAUGCUUGUCAAGCUGGCAGAUACUGCACGCCUUUUCCCCCCCUGAUUUGCAUGUAGUAUUGUUUCGGUGUUCUCAAUUUAUUUCCGAUUUUCAGAGCGAUACGGCGUCUUAUAUUUACGUACUUUCUCUGGUAAAAAAACCAACUUAGUUUAGGAAGGGACGUGACUCCUCCUAGCUAGUAUUGUUUUGGUGUUCUCAAUUUUUUUCCUUGAUUUUCAGCGUGGCACAGUGUCUUGUAUAUACCUUCUCCCUCCGUUAAAAAAAGCCAACAUAGCUAGGAGGGGAUGUGACCCCUCCUAUUAUUGUUUUGGUGUUCUCAUUUUUCCCUUGAUUUUCAGCGCGGCACGGUGUCUAUAUACAUACUCCCUUUAUCAAAAAAAAAAAAAGCCAACGUAGUUAAGAGGGGAUAUGACCCCUCCUAGUAUUGUUUUGGUGUUCUCAAUUUUUUCUCCUGAUUUUUAGUGUGGCACGGCAUCUUGUAUAUACGUAUUGCCUCCGUCCAAAAAAAAGCCAACAUAGCUUAACUACGUAUUGACAUCUUGUCUCAAUUUUUUCUCCUGAUUUUUAGGACGUGACCCCUCCUAGUAUUGUUUUGGUGUUCUCAAUUUUUUCCUUGAUUUUUAGCGCGGCACGGCGUCUUGUAUAUACAUACUCCCUCAGUGAAAAAAAAAGGUUAUACUAGAAGGUCUCGCAUGCUCUACUUGGAUAAAUAUCAUAUUAACCAGCUGUAUGCACUUCACGGUGCAGAGAAGGCGACAUGCAAGAUCUUUUGUCAUUGUCUCAAAGCAUAUUCGAUCGUUCACUCGUUCUUCAAUUACUUUUUAAUAUAUAGUAACAAAUUAACUAACAAUCUAUCCUCUUUAUUUUUGCAGAUAUGUAUCGGCGCGCAUUAUUAACGAUUAACGUGGGUUGUGGUUCAAAACCGGAUGCCGCCGUUGGUGAUAUAUAUUUGGAUACACAAGACAGUCGGCCAUAUAUAUCGUCUUUAGGCCACACAUAUAUUAUAUGUAUCCCAGUAGCAAAAACAUAUUUUUCCUUUUUGCAAAUUACAAGCUAGCAUGCAUGUAACAAAUUCUUUUUUUAAUAGAUAAAAAUUCAUUCUCGCAUUUGUUUUUCCCAUGUCAUCGUCAUUAAGAUUACAAAACAUUUUAGUGAAUAAAAAAAGAGGAACCGCUGCUGACUGCA
Molecule: non-coding RNA, 1605 nt
Organism: Oryza sativa Japonica Group (Japanese rice)
Lineage: Eukaryota; Viridiplantae; Streptophyta; Magnoliopsida; Poales; Poaceae
Source: RefSeq, a predicted model, not a curated record